GUGUGCACAUGAAAAUCACAGAUGAAAUGGUCCCCUGUCCUGUCUGUGGUUGGAUGAGAGACCACAC
Danio rerio (zebrafish) is the source of this 67-nucleotide non-coding RNA. Lineage: Eukaryota; Metazoa; Chordata; Actinopteri; Cypriniformes; Danionidae. The record is from Rfam.